Long non-coding RNA from Pantherophis guttatus, 4548 nucleotides. RefSeq lists it as uncharacterized. The record is from RefSeq and is a predicted model, not a curated record. NCBI's taxonomy places the organism in Eukaryota, Metazoa, Chordata, Lepidosauria, Squamata, Colubridae.
AAAUUUAUGGGCAUGGGAGGGAAACUGAAUAUCCUUCCAAAAGGAUAAUGGAAGGGUUAUUCAAAAUACAGAUUAUCUGCUAAGAAAUCUAAAAUAGUCGUUUUUGUAGAUGGCUUAACGUAUACAAUAAAACUCUCUGCUAUAAACAGAAAGCAUGCAUUAUAUUGAUGUUUAUGAGAUAAAACAACUCUGCAGUUGUAAUUGGAGAGCAUUAGAACUUGGAGGGCUGAGGAAAGAAAGUCCCAGCAAGAACAGAAAUAGUUAUGUAGCACUAGUUUAAUAUUGUGAUAAGGAUAGAGAAGUAUGCAAAUGAUAGAGACUGAAGAUCUGCUAGAGAGUUUUUACAAAUUACCUAAAUAUUUCAUAUUUAUACAAUAUAGUCUUUGUUUUUUGAGUGGGAAGAUAUACAAAAUAGUUCAGGAGUGUUCUGUUCUACCAUUUAGGCUGUACUGAAGCUCCUCUGGACUAUGCUGUUCCAGAGGCAAUUACUAGUUUCUAAAUGUAAAUCCCCUGAACUGAAAGUAAUCUGAAGCAUGGUAUUCCAAAAUCCAGUUUCAAGGAUUUUUUUUCUGGAAACUACUGAACUACUGAACAGCACAAUUUAAAGGGGAACAGAAGGUUCGUGAGUUAUCCAGAAUGUUCUUUUCUUGAACCAAUGAGUAUUACACUUCCUUAUUUUUUGAUUUUUUUAAAAUUAUUAUUAUUUUUAUUAUUAAUUUUUUAAUUAUCCAUUAAUUUAUAGAUUAUUGAUAUUUACAGCAUCCAUGUAGAAAAUGGAAUGCAACAAUGGUACCUUGUUGCACUUCUUUUCUAGAGUUUCUGAUGUAUAUGAUACAUUUCCAUGUCUUUUUCCUACAUCAGAAAUCUGGAUACAACAGCAAUUUCUCAUCACUGCUGUUGGAUUCAUGAUGGAUACCAAGGAAGAUUGAGCUUGUCCUGAUUCAGGAUAUGUAUUGCUUUUUUUGAAAAGCAAAGAGUUUCUUAAAGGAAUAAAAUCUCAUGUAGUAUAACUGAAAUGGUCAGUUAUACUGACCAGUUAUACAGCACUGAUCCCCUGUAUUACUCAUGUAAUCAGUUAAGAAUCAUUCUGAAUUCAAUUUAUGUUAAACAAAAUCAAUUAUACAUGAAGGCCUCCCCAGUAUAGCAAUAAGUAGUAUGUUGAAUGAUGACAAUUUUACAUAGUUUCUUGCAUAUAGUUGGGAAGCAUUGCUAGUUACCAAAGAGAUGGUAUUGGGAUAAAGUAAUAUAAUCUAAUACAAUAUAGUAUAUAUCCUAUGCUUAUUAAAAACAUGCUUAUACCAAGAAAAAUUGGAGAAUUCAAUAUCAGAUUCAAAUAUCAAAAGUCCUGGUUUAAAUAAACAUAUAGGAUCAAUUUAUACUGUUUCCCAGUUUUGUAACUCAUACAUUUUCUGAAGCAUAGUUUGUAAUUAAAGAUAUGCAGGGUGACUUUGCACAAUAUUCUAGGAUAAAAUAUGAUUGGCUACUUCAUGGUUUAAUAAUGUUUAUUACUAUGCUUAGUUUAUGGUUUAAAGUGUUGUGUGACCCAAGCAUUUUGAUUAAUGCAGUAAUCUUUGAUUAAUGUAGUGUUCAACCCUAGCUACAUCAAGAUGUGCCCAUGAACAUUUUGCUGUGUACAGUUAUAUUUUUUUAAAAAAAUAGGAGAAAAUUGUGGAUAUAUUAAUAACUGGAAAGAUUUGAAUAAUUAAUAACUGAAAAGACUAUAGUAAAGGAGUAUAUGUUAGUGGUGAACAUGUUGAAUGACGUCUGAGGAGACCUAGGUUCAAAUUACUCUCAGCCAUGGUAGCUCACUGUGUGUUUUUGUGCCAGGCCCUUUUUUGCCUAAACUCCCCAUGACGUUGUGAGAAGUAUUAGAGAGGGAGUGUUAUAUAUGGUACCUUGAACACCUGAAGGAGAAGUCAGGUAUAAAUGUAAUAAAUAUCUAGACAUUUACUUAAUAGAGUUUUAUCAUAUGGCAAAAUAUUUCUGCAAAAUAUUAAUAUAUAUAUAUGAAUGCUGUUGAUACUUUGACAGUUUCUUGGUCCAUGUGUUAUCAGCCACUUAUAACAUUUGACUUCAGUAGUUGGAUAUUUUUUCCUGUAGUUUGUAUUCUCUAUAACAGUGAUGGCUAACCUUUUCCAGGCCGAGUGCCCAAAGCGCACGCCCAAACCCCCAAAAUGCAAUGCGCGUGCGGCCCCCACGCAUGUGCCCUUUCCCAUGCGUGUGCAGCCCCUGCAUGUGAGGCAGAGACUUGAAGACCAGCUGGCCGGCAGGAGGCACGCACGCAUGCGGGACAGAGCUGAACUGGGGCGAUGGCUCGCGUGCCCAUAGAGAUGGCUUCACGUGCCACCUCUGGCACAUGUGCCAUAGGUUCGCCAUCACAGCUCUAUGAAAUGCUACUUGUAUAAUGUAAGGGUUGGAAGUUAACUUGGAGAUUCAUUCUCCUGAUGAUACACAAAUCUACGGUAGUACUACAAUAUUGCCUAAACUGCUAAUCCAGCCUCUAUUUAAACACCUUCUCUGCUUAAACAAUCCACCACUUCGUGAGGCACUCUGCUCCAUACUGAACAGUUCUUACCAAUUUUUUUUAUGUUUUCUAGUAAAACCUGCUAAAUCAAACUCAUUUUUUGGUUGUCCUGUUUUCUGGAACAGCUCUAAACAAUUACGUCUGAUAGGAUUGCCUUUCAGAGAUUUGAUGACAUCUCCCUUGUCUCUGCAGUGUUUUCUUCUUCAAGCUAAACAUACCAAAAACCUCCACCUCCUCAUAAUUUUUUUUUUUUUUUGCUUUUUUUUGCUUUUAUCAUAUUGGUUGCUCCCAUUGGGCAUGUUCUAGUUUGACCAUGUCUUUUCUAAUAUAUGUGCCUACAACUGGAUGUAGCAUUCUAGAAGUAGGAUGAUUCAUUCAGAAGUGAGAGGAACAAUGAUUUAUAUUGAUCCUGAUAAUGUACUUCUAUUAAUACAGUUUAGGAUUGCUUUUUCUUGUUUCAUUUUUUGGAGCUGCACAACAUUGUUGGGUCAUACUCAUCUUGUAAUCUAGAUCCUUUUGCUAUAUAUUGCUGCCUGUAUCAUACCACAGCCAUGCACACGCUUUUAAUUUUUUCCUAUUUCAGUAUAAGAGUCUAGAUUUGUUGCUGUGAAUUUCAUCUUGCUGCUCUUGCUACUUAUUUGAGUUUAUCAGGAUCUUCCUGAAUCUUUAUAUUAUGUACUUAGAAGUUUGCUGUCCCCCCCCCCCAUCUUCAUGUCGUGAGCAAAUUUGAUAAUAAUACAUAGUAACCCUUUAAUCAAAUUGCUUACAAAUAUGUUGAGCACACAGGACUUAAAAUGAGUUCUGCAGUACGACAGUCAGAUCUAACUUCCAGCUUAGAAUGGCCUUAGCUGAACAGCACAGGACCUAACAGGGAGUUACACUGGCCUUAGCUUAACAAAAUACAAUUCUGUAGAAAUAAUUUCAAGAUGUUAGAUGGAAUCUAACUAAGAUGCCCACCACUAUGGUAGACAUAUUAGUGGGAAAAAUAGGAUUUAAUGAAAGUUUCUUUUGCCAACUGAUUUUGAGAUUUACUCUUCUGAGUAAAAAUGGUAAUACAUAAACCUAUUCUUAUUACUAUGAUGUUCUGCCAGUAGGAUACUAUAAGAGGAACUGUGUUUCAUCCUAAUACUACUUCAUCAGUGUAGCAUUACACUGAUAAAGGGAUUGGUGUGAUUAGAAAUAUUCCCUUAUAUUUAAUGGAGAGCCAAAACAAAAUCAUGACAGAACUGCUACAUUGCUAUGGUGUAGUUAAGAUUUCAAUUAACCUUGCCUUUAAUCCCAGUGUAUUUUUGCCAGUAUUUAAACUCCAGACAAGAUUUCUAGCUGAAAUAUUAGGGUAUGCUCUUGUUUGUGUAUGUGAGAGAAGGAGGGAGGGAAACAGUGUGAUAAUGAGAAUGAGAGAACAUUUGCAACUGACCAAGGGGCUGUGUGGUGAUGAGAAAUACAGAGGAAGAAUACUUUGCACAAUAGUUCAACCUAUCCAGAGGACACUGCUGACAUUUGUUAGAGAACUCCCAACAGUUACCUUACCUUAAGACAUGAACGUCAAUUAUCAACACUACUUCUACAACUGGGAUAAAAGGACAAAGCAUCUUGAACAGCAUCAAAACCUGAACAUGGGAAUAACAGAGGUUUUCUUCAGUGAAAGAUUCCUACAUACUCUAUUUGCUAGAUGUGGAGGGCUGGAUAUUUUCCAUUCUCAGUGCCAUACAGACUAAAAGGAAAACUUCCAGCAAAACCAGACCUAUGUGAUUCCAACUAUUCCAUUGUAUGGUUGCCAAAUAUAUUCCAAUAGGUUCCAUAUUUCAGCAACCAUUUACAUAACAAGUGAAACAAUGUUCUCUACGGAAGAUUAAGCAAGAAUACCCACACCCACUACUAUUAUAGAGUUUUCCGUUUAUAAAAUGCGACAGGGUGGUUUGCAAUACCUUCUGUGUGGUUUUAUUUUAGAACUACAGCACUAUAAGUGCUACAUGUAGAAGGGUGGGGCAUAUAUUUACAAUAAAAAUAAGGAUUUCACUUUA